AGAACGAACGCUGGCGGCAGGCCUAACACAUGCAAGUCGAGCGGGGGAGCAAUCCCUAGCGGCGGACGGGUUAGUAACGCGUGGGAACAUACCCUUUGGUACGGAAUAGCCUCGGGAAACUGAGAGUAAUACCGUAUGUGCCCUUCGGGGGAAAGAUUUAUCGCCAAAGGAUUGGCCCGCGUUGGAUUAGGUAGUUGGUGGGGUAAUGGCCUACCAAGCCGACGAUCCAUAGCUGGUUUGAGAGGAUGAUCAGCAACACUGGGACUGAGACACGGCCCAGACUCCUACGGGAGGCAGCAGUGGGGAAUCUUAGACAAUGGGCGAAAGCCUGAUCUAGCCAUGCCGCGUGGACGAUGAAGGCCUUAGGGUUGUAAAGUCCUUUCAGAUGGGAAGAUAAUGACGGUACCAUCAGAAGAAGCCCCGGCUAACUCCGUG
Molecule: ribosomal RNA, 435 nt
Filed under: uncultured bacterium
Lineage: Bacteria
Description: bacterial SSU rRNA
Rfam family: Bacterial small subunit ribosomal RNA
Source: RNAcentral